RNAcentral lists this ribosomal RNA (1878 nucleotides) under Salmonella enterica. RNAcentral's name for it is "partial 23S ribosomal RNA". It matches the Rfam family "Bacterial large subunit ribosomal RNA", at positions 1079 to 2925 of the family's 2925-position model. Lineage: Bacteria; Pseudomonadati; Pseudomonadota; Gammaproteobacteria; Enterobacterales; Enterobacteriaceae. The record is from RNAcentral.
GAAGGCCCAGACAGCCAGGAUGUUGGCUUAGAAGCAGCCAUCAUUUAAAGAAAGCGUAAUAGCUCACUGGUCGAGUCGGCCUGCGCGGAAGAUGUAACGGGGCUAAACCAUGCACCGAAGCUGCGGCAGCGACGCUUAUGCGUUGUUGGGUAGGGGAGCGUUCUGUAAGCCUGUGAAGGUGUGUCGUGAGGCAUGCUGGAGGUAUCAGAAGUGCGAAUGCUGACAUAAGUAACGAUAAAGCGGGUGAAAAGCCCGCUCGCCGGAAGACCAAGGGUUCCUGUCCAACGUUAAUCGGGGCAGGGUGAGUCGACCCCUAAGGCGAGGCCGAAAGGCGUAGUCGAUGGGAAACGGGUUAAUAUUCCCGUACUUGGUGUUACUGCGAAGGGGGGACGGAGAAGGCUAUGUUGGCCGGGCGACGGUUGUCCCGGUUUAAGCGUGUAGGUGUGUGUUCCAGGUAAAUCCGGUUCACUUUAACACUGAGGCGUGAUGACGAGGCACUACGGUGCUGAAGUAACAAAUGCCCUGCUUCCAGGAAAAGCCUCUAAGCAUCAGGUAACAUCAAAUCGUACCCCAAACCGACACAGGUGGUCAGGUAGAGAAUACCAAGGCGCUUGAGAGAACUCGGGUGAAGGAACUAGGCAAAAUGGUGCCGUAACUUCGGGAGAAGGCACGCUGACACGUAGGUGAAGUGAUUUACUCACGGAGCUGAAGUCAGUCGAAGAUACCAGCUGGCUGCAACUGUUUAUUAAAAACACAGCACUGUGCAAACACGAAAGUGGACGUAUACGGUGUGACGCCUGCCCGGUGCCGGAAGGUUAAUUGAUGGGGUCAGCGCAAGCGAAGCUCCUGAUCGAAGCCCCGGUAAACGGCGGCCGUAACUAUAACGGUCCUAAGGUAGCGAAAUUCCUUGUCGGGUAAGUUCCGACCUGCACGAAUGGCGUAAUGAUGGCCAGGCUGUCUCCACCCGAGACUCAGUGAAAUUGAACUCGCUGUGAAGAUGCAGUGUACCCGCGGCAAGACGGAAAGACCCCGUGAACCUUUACUAUAGCUUGACACUGAACAUUGAGCCUUGAUGUGUAGGAUAGGUGGGAGGCUUUGAAGUGUGGACGCCAGUCUGCAUGGAGCCGACCUUGAAAUACCACCCUUUAAUGUUUGAUGUUCUAACGUGGACCCGUUACCCGGGUUGCGGACAGUGUCUGGUGGGUAGUUUGACUGGGGCGGUCUCCUCCUAAAGAGUAACGGAGGAGCACGAAGGUUGGCUAAUCCUGGUCGGACAUCAGGAGGUUAGUGCAAUGGCAUAAGCCAGCUUGACUGCGAGCGUGACGGCGCGAGCAGGUGCGAAAGCAGGUCAUAGUGAUCCGGUGGUUCUGAAUGGAAGGGCCAUCGCUCAACGGAUAAAAGGUACUCCGGGGAUAACAGGCUGAUACCGCCCAAGAGUUCAUAUCGACGGCGGUGUUUGGCACCUCGAUGUCGGCUCAUCACAUCCUGGGGCUGAAGUAGGUCCCAAGGGUAUGGCUGUUCGCCAUUUAAAGUGGUACGCGAGCUGGGUUUAGAACGUCGUGAGACAGUUCGGUCCCUAUCUGCCGUGGGCGCUGGAGAACUGAGGGGGGCUGCUCCUAGUACGAGAGGACCGGAGUGGACGCAUCACUGGUGUUCGGGUUGUCAUGCCAAUGGCACUGCCCGGUAGCUAAAUGCGGAAGAGAUAAGUGCUGAAAGCAUCUAAGCACGAAACUUGCCCCGAGAUGAGUUCUCCCUGAGACUUUAGGUCUCCUGAAGGAACGUUGAAGACGACGACGUUGAUAGGCCGGGUGUGUAAGCGCAGCGAUGCGUUGAGCUAACCGGUACUAAUGAACCGUGAGGCUUAACCUUACAACGCCG